RNAcentral lists this long non-coding RNA (747 nucleotides) under Mus spicilegus (steppe mouse). RNAcentral describes it as "lncRNA (ENSMSIG00000030924.1)". Lineage: Eukaryota; Metazoa; Chordata; Mammalia; Rodentia; Muridae. The record is from RNAcentral.
GGGGGGGGGGGGGGAGGGGGGGGGGGGGGGAGGGAGGGAGGGAGGGACGGACGGACGGACGGACGGACGGAGGGACGGACGGAGGGACGGAGGGACGGAGGGAGAAUGAAAGAAUGGAGCCACAUAUGACUUCCAUUAGUGUGGAAAUCGGGGAGACACAGUUAUAUGAAGAAGCACUUUUAAGUCCUUUCCUUUCUUCUCUGCUUUCAGUUUUACCGUACUCAUCGCCUUUGGCACAAGAAGAGCUGCAGAAAGGAGGGAAGACCAUCAUGCCCUGUCCUCGCAGCUCAGGGCCCAAGUUCAAUAUUUCUAAUACUUUCUCAAUGGUCAAAAGGACGUGUGUGAAGCUCAUUUCAAGCCAUAUAAUAGAAUCCGGUGAUUUCAAGCCAUACACUGGGAGAAACUUCCCAUGAAGCUUGUCCCGGGCACCUGAUGGUCUGAAGCACAGUCAUUGACCCCAGGGACUCUGCAUUGGAGGGAAAACCCUGAAAGGUCACAAGUUCAGCCACCCCCACAAACACUCUCACUUCUCGGCCCCUUCUGUGUUAUGUCAUCUCUCUUUGUUCCCCAUGGAAUGAGACGUUUAAAUUACAACACAGAGCAGCUGCCAUUUGAGCUCUUGAGAACUGGUGUUUGAGAGAGGGUUCUGUAUGCCUGCUUCACUCCAGAAAAUUAUUAUAGAUGAUGUGGUUGAGUCAUGUUGCACAUGGUAUAAAAGUAAAUAAAUAAACAACCCUCAGGUUGACA